ACAUAUCCGGGGGGUAUUUCCUUCUCAAGUCCUUAAACCUUUCCUAGGCCUCAUAAAGGGUUUCACCAUCUUUCUGUCUGAAGAUUUACACCUCAGCUCUCAAUCU
This is a small nucleolar RNA of Arachis stenosperma, 106 nucleotides long. Lineage: Eukaryota; Viridiplantae; Streptophyta; Magnoliopsida; Fabales; Fabaceae. The record is from RefSeq and is a predicted model, not a curated record.